This 600-nucleotide ribosomal RNA is filed under the name uncultured bacterium. Its description in RNAcentral is "bacterial SSU rRNA". It matches the Rfam family "Bacterial small subunit ribosomal RNA", at positions 119 to 707 of the family's 1533-position model. The record is from RNAcentral.
AGGUAACCUGCCUCUUAGCGGGGGAUAACUAUUGGAAACGAUAGCUAAUACCGCAUAAAAGUCGACAUUGCAUGAUGUUGACUUAAAAGGUGCAAUUGCAUCACUACCAGAUGGACCUGCGUUGUAUUAGCUAGUUGGUGAGGUAACGGCUCACCAAGGCAACGAUACAUAGCCGACCUGAGAGGGUGAUCGGCCACACUGGGACUGAGACACGGCCCAGACUCCUACGGGAGGCAGCAGUAGGGAAUCUUCGGCAAUGGACGGAAGUCUGACCGAGCAACGCCGCGUGAGUGAAGAAGGUUUUCGGAUCGUAAAGCUCUGUUGUAAGAGAAGAACGAGUGUGAGAGUGGAAAGUUCACACUGUGACGGUAUCUUACCAGAAAGGGACGGCUAACUACGUGCCAGCAGCCGCGGUAAUACGUAGGUCCCGAGCGUUGUCCGGAUUUAUUGGGCGUAAAGCGAGCGCAGGCGGUUAGAUAAGUCUGAAGUUAAAGGCUGUGGCUUAACCAUAGUACGCUUUGGAAACUGUUUAACUUGAGUGCAAGAGGGGAGAGUGGAAUUCCAUGUGUAGCGGUGAAAUGCGUAGAUAUAUGGAGGAAC